Molecule: long non-coding RNA, 704 nt
Organism: Daphnia pulex (common water flea)
Lineage: Eukaryota; Metazoa; Arthropoda; Branchiopoda; Diplostraca; Daphniidae
Exons: 2
Source: RefSeq, a predicted model, not a curated record
GAAGUUAAUGGACGCUGUUAAUUGACUGACUUGCGUGAAUUCUUGGCGAUGACCAUGUAGAUGCAUCCGAUGAUCAGGAUCAUCACGAUCAGAGCAACAAAACUACAGGUAAUGUACAACAAGAGUUUAGUGUUUGUGUCGUUAUUAGUCGUCGAAAUUGUUGUAGUUGGAGUAGUUGUCGUCAGGGCUUCAGUGGUCGGAACUUCAGUCGUUGGGGUUUCUUUCGUUGGCAUUUCAGUGCCAUGAGAUCAUCAAUCAUCUAUCAAUAAUUGAAUAAUGCGGAAUAGUGCUACUAAUCGCACACGCUACACUUUUAUUGUUGAUGUUGGACAGGUGCUAAUUUCCGUCACUGUUGAUUCCGACUUGGCCUUCGUGUUGGCCGCUGCCUUCGGUCCCAUUUCCAUCGUGCUGUAAGCUGAACUUCUUCUUUCCUUGCGUUUUUUUCCCCUUUCUGUUGUUACAAGUUAUUUUGCAACUCAACUUGUAUUUUUCCUCACCCAUCCCUACCGUUUCACAUUUCUAUUUUUUUCCUCUCGCGUUCAUAAUGUCGUUUGUCGUUGUGAUACUUGUCUUAUAAUUAUUUUCGUUUUCUGAAUUUAUUUUUAUAUUAUUAACACGGCAAUCCCUUCAAACAUAGCUGGCCAGAGUGAGUACAAAAAGUGUAAUUACUGAUCCAGAAACAAAUAAAACAAGUUAAUGUCUUA